Molecule: ribosomal RNA, 372 nt
Filed under: uncultured organism
Description: bacterial SSU rRNA
Rfam family: Bacterial small subunit ribosomal RNA
Source: RNAcentral
CAGAGGUCCCAAGCGUUGUUCGGAUUCACUGGGCGUAAAGGGUGCGUAGGUGGCGAGGUAAGUCGGAUGUGAAAUCUCCAAGCUCAACUUGGAAAUGGCAUUGGAAACUACCUUGCUAGAGGUUUGGAGGGGGGACUGGAAUUCUCGGUGUAGCAGUGAAAUGCGUAGAUAUCGAGAGGAACACCAGUGGCGAAGGCGAGUCCCUGGACAACACCUGACACUGAGGCACGAAAGCUAGGGGAGCAAACAGGAUUAGAUACCCUGGUAGUCCUAGCCGUAAACGGUGCUUGCUUGCUGUAAAAGGAAUCGACCCCUUUUGUGGCGAAGCCAACGCGUUAAGCAAGCCGCCUGGGAAGUACGGUCGCAAGAUUA